AUAAAGUCGGGUAUGKAUACCCGUUUGCAUGUACUUUAUGAAUAAGGAUCGGCUAACUCCGUGCCAGCAGCCGCGGUAAUACGGAGGAUCCGAGCGUUAUCCGGAUUUAUUGGGUUUAAAGGGAGCGUAGAUGGAUGUUUAAGUCAGUUGUGAAAGUUUGCGGCUCAACCGUAAAAUUGCAGUUGAUACUGGAUAUCUUGAGUGCAGUUGAGGCAGGCGGAAUUCGUGGUGUAGCGGUGAAAUGCUUAGAUAUCACGAAGAACUCCGAUUGCGAAGGCAGCCUGCUAAGCUGCAACUGACAUUGAGGCUCGAAAGUGUGGGUAUCAAACAGGAUUAGAUACCCUGGUAGUCCMCACGGUAAACGAUGAAUACUCGCUGUUUGCGAUAUACGGCAAGCGGCCAAKCGAAAGCGUUAAGUAUUCCACCUGGGGAGUACGCCGGCAACGGUGAAACUCAAAGGAAUUGACGGGGGCCCGCACAAGCGGAGGAACAUGUGGUUUAAUUCGAUGAUACGCGAGGAACCUUACCCGGGCUUAAAUUGCAGAUGAAUUACGGUGAAAGCCGUAAGCCGCAAGGCAUCUGUGAAGGUGCUGCAUGGUUGUCGUCAGCUCGUGCCGUGAGGUGUCGGCUUAAGUGCCAUAACGAGCGCAACCCUUGUUGUCAGUUACUAACAGGUUCCGCUGAGGACUCUGACAAGACUGCCAUCGUAAGAUG
This 714-nucleotide ribosomal RNA is filed under the name uncultured Bacteroides sp. RNAcentral's name for it is "bacterial SSU rRNA". It matches the Rfam family "Bacterial small subunit ribosomal RNA", at positions 446 to 1165 of the family's 1533-position model. The record is from RNAcentral. Lineage: Bacteria; Pseudomonadati; Bacteroidota; Bacteroidia; Bacteroidales; Bacteroidaceae.